RNAcentral lists this ribosomal RNA (253 nucleotides) under uncultured bacterium. RNAcentral describes it as "partial 16S ribosomal RNA". It matches the Rfam family "Bacterial small subunit ribosomal RNA", at positions 524 to 776 of the family's 1533-position model. The record is from RNAcentral.
GACAGAGGGUGCAAACGUUGCUCGGAAUCACUGGGCGUAAAGGGCGUGUAGGCGGGAAUGUAAGUCGGGCGUGAAAGCCCCAGGCUCAACCUGGGAACUGCACUCGAAACUGCGUUUCUUGAGUAUCGGAGAGGAAAGCGGAAUACCUUGUGUAGAGGUGAAAUUCGUAGAUAUCAGGUGGAACACCAGUGGCGAAGGCGGCUUUCUGGACGAUUACUGACGCUGAGACGCGAAAGCGUGGGGAGCAAACAGG